CGCGCGUCGUGGGAUUGGAAAGGCUGUUCGUGGAUUCAGGAAGUCCAGUCAAACCAUCUGGUACCAGUCUGUUCCGGGUCCGGACCUGAACCAUGGACUGGACUCUCCGAUGCUGUGAGUUGGACUUUGGUUUGGGUCAGUUUGUGUGAGUUUAAGACAGUUUGGCAUUAGAGGAACAACCAGUCUGAGACGCACCGGAGUGGAGUGGACGGGUUUCCUGUUUUUAUUAGACACUUUAUAGGACACUUUAUAGGACAGUUGAGAGGACAGUUUAUAGGACAUAGACACACAGUCCGGUCCGGUGGAGGACUCCGGGUUCUUUUAGACUGAAGGACAUGAAACACGUUCGAUGGUUCUGAUUCGAGAUCAAGAAGAAAACUGGAACUGACUCCUUUGAACUCAUCAUGUUAGUUAUGAUCAACUUUAAUUUCACACAGUAAAUAAUAAAACUCUAAAGUGUCACGUGACUGUGUUUUAUCACUUAAGUGUUUAAACACAAACUUAAAGUUCAGUAAAUGUCGUUUUGGGAAAAAAAAAAAAAAAAAAAAAAAAAACAACAACAACAACACACAUGAUGAAUAUUUAAUGACAUAUGAUUAUCAAUAAGAUGAAGAUGGACCAGGUCCUGGACCAGAUCAAUCAGGUCCUGGACUCAUCUUCUGGUUCUGAACAGGUUGUUUAACGUCAGAUGUUCCAGAGUACAACAGAAAUGGACCUAAAUGAAAGUCAACCUGCACUAAUUCAUCCUCCAGUUAGAAAAGUAUGAAAGUACUACAUGUGUGUAUUAGUACAAGGAUCAACAUCUGUCUGUCUAUCUGUCUGCCCAUCUGUCUGUCCACCUGUCUGUCCACCUGCCUGUACAUCUGUCUUUCUACCUGUCUGUCCAUCUGUCUGUCUACCUGUAUUUCUACCUGUCUGUCCAUCUGUCUGUCUAUCUGUCUCCAGGUGUUGACCAGUUCCUCUUCUUUCAGGGUGAAAUAUCGUUGUCUCCUCUUCUGUAAGCAUCCAUCUGUCUUCGUCCAAUCCCAGUAUCUCUGGUGGGAAUGUCCUACUGGUCUGUUGGACAACCCCAGGACUCAGACUGUCCCAGGAACAUGGAGCAGCAAAGCAGUCCUGGGGAUGAAAUGGGAGCCAAGUUAUCACUGGUGGAGGUUCCGGGACCAGUGCUGGGACCCUCCCCCACACUGCAGAACAUCCAGACGGCAUAUGAGAACGGAGAAGAGGACGCCGCCAGAGAGCUGAUCCAACAGGCCUGCUGCGUGGAAUGCAGCGCAGGGACGCCACGCAUCAAUGCGUGAGUAGGAAGGAACCAGAGCACCAGCGUCCUCUGACGGGGACCGGACACUUAUGUACAUACACUUCAACCCAUGGACAGACAGGAGGAGGAGAGAUGAGGA
Molecule: long non-coding RNA, 1397 nt
Filed under: Sphaeramia orbicularis (orbiculate cardinalfish)
Lineage: Eukaryota; Metazoa; Chordata; Actinopteri; Kurtiformes; Apogonidae
Description: lncRNA (ENSSORG00005001998.1)
Source: RNAcentral